AAGCGAGGACGGCCUCCCCCUUCACCGGGUUAAGUCCGCCCGGGACGGCCCGG
Molecule: non-coding RNA, 53 nt
Filed under: Rhizobium sp.
Lineage: Bacteria; Pseudomonadati; Pseudomonadota; Alphaproteobacteria; Hyphomicrobiales; Rhizobiaceae
Description: Guanidine-II sequence
Rfam family: Guanidine-II riboswitch aptamer (mini-ykkC)
About the family: Simpler in structure and has fewer highly conserved nucleotide positions than the ykkC-yxkD leader. Despite this each of its two stem-loop structures directly bind free guanidine. Therefore, mini-ykkC RNA motif represents a distinct class of guanidine-sensing RNAs.
Source: RNAcentral